GAACAAAUGGUGAGUGAGGAGGUGACGGGUCACAAGAUCAGAAUGCUUGGAAGGUUCCUGAUCUGAUGUCAUAACUCUGAUUGGCCACUGCUCUGAUAGGGUGACCAUCAGGGAAAUGCUGACCUCUGUGCUUGUAGAUCUGGCAAGAGACCUCAGAAGUGGUGAAGGAGAGAACAUGUGGGGUGCUUCAUAGACAAUGUAGAAAAGGCUGGAAGGCUUAGUAUGGUUGUGAGCACUCAUCUCACUCUCAAGAAACCUCCACUGUCCUUUCUGUAGAGAAGCAUGCGCUGACACAAGCUUCCUGUUGAGGACCAUCAUCCUUUACACAGGCCUUCUGUGAAUGGUCGUCUAAUGAUGAAUGAGUGAAUGAGCCUCCUGACAAGGUGAGGAAGACAGCACUGCCAACUGGACAAUGGAGCAUUUCUCCCACCGGAAGCUUAGCAGUGAGACCAGGAGAGCGAGUGGAAAAGAUGAUCCACUGACUAUCAAGUGCAGAGGACUGGCGAGUUUAUUGGGAGAGUUAAAGAGCAGAUCCCGGACGUACCCUAUGAAACUACAGGAGAGAGAUUGUUUAUUUGCAAACUGCCUGAGAGCGACUUUGGGCAGCAUGAAGACAAGACCCUCUUUCAGCAGAUGUUUGUGGAGCUCUCUGUGAAGGCCUGUACUUGGGCUCUCAAGGAGGCAGGGGAAGGUCAGCUGAGAAUAUGGGAAAGUGGAGGAGGAGAAGGAUGCCAGGGUUAGGACUACAAGAGGACAACAACCAAAAGGUUUGGAAAUUAGCAUGAGAUCAGGUGUCUAAUGCAUAAAAGAAAUCAUCUCCUGUAGGACACAAACCACAGUGAGGCAGGGGCUCAGUAUUUUCUCUGGUUGGACCCUGUAAUGGAAGGUCACAACUGAAACACCCCAAUGUUAAUAGCCUCGUGACACUGACUGCCUCUACGAGUCAGCACUUUCUAAGGAAAUUGACUUUGAUUUGUCUCACUCCACCUCACAGCUGUGGAAGCAAUGAGGAUUUACAUACCUUUCCCAUGCUGAUCUGGUAUUCCAUCAUGGUUGUCUGAUCCCAGAGCCUGAGCUCUUACCCACUGUACUAUACUCUUCCUGAGACACUUAAUACUUUGACCAAAGGCCAUUUUUUCUCAGGGCCCUUUAUAAACACAAGCCUGAGAUCUAUAGGUGUGUCGAAAUGGGAGCAUCUGAUAUAGUGGCCCCAGGGUUCUCUAUCAGACACUGGUGCUCCACUUAAGCCUCUAAAUCUGAGAAGAGUCUGAAGUUGGCUCCAGAGGGAGUGUGGAGAUGAUGGAUGGGUUUUUAAGAGGGGAAAUGAAGGAUGGUUGUAGGAACUGCUUGCUGUGAAGAAAAAGAGGAAGUUGAACUUCUGGGGGCGCAAACUGAAGCUUAUAUGAAAUGGAUAAAAUCUUAUGCUCUUGACAAAAGAAAAAAACAGCCUAAAAACUCCUAAUGUGAUAUCACAUCCCAUGAAGGUACAGUAGGCUGAAGAAGAUGAACUUAGGAAAAGACGAGGGAAAAGAUGUCCCUCUUUAGGGUGGGCAAGAAGUGGUCAAGCAAAACGUCUUCAUGGACUGCAUGCUUCCUACAUAACCAAGUCUGGACACUAUGGCAUGGGUGAACACAGGGGCGAAGCCUCUUCUUAGGGAGAAGUUGGCCUAGUGAGUUGUUGCACUUUUGAAUAAAACAGAUUCUAGAAUAUGAUGCAUUGGUUUCAGAAGUGAAGUCUGGAGGUCUUCUGCCAGUCUCCUCACAUGUGACUGACUGUAAAACAUUUGCGAUGUGACUAGAAAAUUUGAACUAAAUACUAGUUGCCAAGUACUUAGUAUAACGGAGUAAACUAAGAAAGCUGUCUUUUCUCUAGCAUCU
This 1878-nucleotide long non-coding RNA is filed under the name Rattus norvegicus (Norway rat). RNAcentral describes it as "long non-coding RNA NONRATT032399". Lineage: Eukaryota; Metazoa; Chordata; Mammalia; Rodentia; Muridae. The record is from RNAcentral.